Molecule: ribosomal RNA, 599 nt
Filed under: bacterium PS14
Lineage: Bacteria
Description: bacterial SSU rRNA
Rfam family: Bacterial small subunit ribosomal RNA
Source: RNAcentral
UCCUACGGGAAAAAGCCAAAAAAAAUCGGGCCUUGCGCUAAUACAUGAGCCUAAGUCGGAUUAGCUAGUUGGUAGGGUAAAGGCCUACCAAGGCGACGAUCUGUAGCGGGUCUGAGAGGAUGAUCCGCCACACUGGGACUGAGACACGGCCCAGACUCCUACGGGAGGCAGCAGUGGGGAAUAUUGGACAAUGGGGGGAACCCUGAUCCAGCCAUGCCGCGUGUGUGAAGAAGGCCUUUUGGUUGUAAAGCACUUUAAGCGAGGAGGAGGCUACCUAGAUUAAUACUUUAGGAUAGUGGACGUUACUCGCAGAAUAAGCACCGGCUAACUCUGUGCCAGCAGCCGCGGUAAUACAGAGGGUGCGAGCGUUAAUCGGAUUUACUGGGCGUAAAGCGUGCGUAGGCGGCCUAUUAAGUCAAAAUGUGAAAUCCCCGAGCUUAACUUGGGGAAUUGCAUUCGAUACUGGUUGGCUAGAGUAUGGGAAAAGGAUGGUAGAAUUCCAGGGUGUAGCGGUGAAAUGCGUAGAGAUCUGGAGGAAUACCGAUGGCGAAGGCAGCCAUCUGGCCUAAUACUGACGCCUGAGGUACGAAAGCCUUGGG